AACGAACGCUGGCGGCAUGCCUAACACAUGCAAGUCGAACGAGACCUUCGGGUCUAGUUGCGCACGGGUGCGUAACGCGUGGGAACCUGCCUUUAGGUUCGGAAUAACUCAGAGAAAUUUGAGCUAAUACCGGAUGAUGUCUUCUGACCAAAGAUUUAUCGCCUUUAGAUGGGCCCGCGUUGGAUUAGCUAGUUGGUGGGGUAAAGGCCUACCAAGGCGAAGAUCCAUAGCUGGUCUGAGAGGAUGACCAGCCACACUGGGACUGAGACACGGCCCAGACUCCUACGGGAGGAAGCAGUGGGGAAUAUUGGACAAUGGGUGAAAGACUGAUCCAGCAAUGCCGAGUGAGUGAUGAAGGACUUAGGGUUGUAAAGCUCUUUUAAAAGAGAUGAUAAUGACAGUAUCGGGAGAAUAAGCGCCGGCUAACUACGUG
This 433-nucleotide ribosomal RNA is filed under the name uncultured bacterium. RNAcentral's name for it is "partial 16S ribosomal RNA". It matches the Rfam family "Bacterial small subunit ribosomal RNA", at positions 29 to 507 of the family's 1533-position model. The record is from RNAcentral.